RNAcentral lists this ribosomal RNA (492 nucleotides) under uncultured bacterium. RNAcentral describes it as "partial 16S ribosomal RNA". It matches the Rfam family "Bacterial small subunit ribosomal RNA", at positions 29 to 507 of the family's 1533-position model. The record is from RNAcentral.
AGUGAACGCUGGCGGUAGGCCUAACACAUGCAAGUCGAACGGCAGCACAGUAAGAGCUUGCUCUUACGGGUGGCGAGUGGCGGACGGGGGGGGAAUCAUUGGAAACCUCCUUUUUCGUGGGGGUUAACGAGGGGAACCUAACGCUAUUACGCCAAACGACCUCGGGUGAAAGCCAGGGGACCUUCGAACCUGGCGCGAUGGAAUAAGCGGAUGUCGGAUUAGCUAGUUGGCGGGGUAAAGGCCCACCAAGGCGACGAUCCGUAGCUGGUCUGAGAGGAUGAUCAGCCACACUGGAACUGAGACACGGUCCAGACUCCUACGGGAGGCAGCAGUGGGGAAUAUUGGACAAUGGGCGCAAGCCUGAUCCAGCCAUACCGCGUGGGUGAAGAAGGCCUUCGGGUUGUAAAGCCCUUUUGUUGGGAAAGAAAAGCAGCAGGUUAAUACCCCGCUGUUCUGACGGUACCCAAAGAAUAAGCACCGGCUAACUUCGUG